Long non-coding RNA from Bos taurus (domestic cattle), 1659 nucleotides. The record is from Ensembl. Lineage: Eukaryota; Metazoa; Chordata; Mammalia; Artiodactyla; Bovidae.
CGCAUUUUAAAAAACACCUAGGAAUAAAUCUGAGUGAGGAGGUGAAAGACAUAUGCUAUAAAACAUUGACAAAGGAAACUGAAGAUGAUUCAAAGAAAUGGAAAGAUAUCCCAUGCUCUCAGAUUAGAAAAAUUACUUAUUUAUCGUGUGUGACUUGCCCAUUCAAACAAUGAUUCCCUUCACUAAAGUCUUAGGAGAUGCAUGGGUGUGUGGAGCAUCUAUAUCUUUGAAAUACAUUUUGGUAACUGUUCUCUAUAGACAGGGAUGCUCACUGGAGAUCUUACAGUGGAGAGGGAUUCUCUGAUUUCAGUGGGGAUGGGAGGAUCCUAGGGUGUUAGAGUUCAAGUGUGACUCUUCACCUCCAGAUGCAAGUUGGAGGUUACUGUCUGGUCCGUGCCACACAGAGCGUGGCUGUGCUUGAUUGGUUCUGAGGUCCUUGGGGCUGACGAUGGGAAGCCCACCCCCAUCCUCCUCGACUUGUAGCACAAGGAGAUUCCUGACCUCUCACUCGGUUCCCAGAUCUGAAUCAGUUCAGAGGCCUGGCAUCCCUUGAAAGGGAAAUCUGAAUACACUUGAGUAAAGGAUUCUUCCAAAAUAUUCAACCGUGGGAUGUGAACUUACUCCUAGAUUUCCCCAAAGCACCCUUCAGCCGUUUACCUGGAAACUCUUCACUAGGGAAAGACAAAUACCCAUGUAUCUUCCAGAUUACUGGUGUCUAUUGCCUCUGUGAAACUUCUGGAGGUCUAAUAUUUGAGGGAACAUCAGCAUAUCCCAGGAAUGACGACAUCUUAUACCUCACCCUGUUGAACCACCACAAUCACAGCUAAUAGCUUCCCCUGGAGGAUCCCAUCAAAGCCAAGGACCAGAGGGAGGAAGAACGGCAGCAGAUGCGAGCUGAAGCCUAGAACUUAGCUGUGUUACAAGAAUAAUGAGUCCUGUUCCUAACACACCUUUGCCACGGUCCUCCAUGGCCCCCUGGGUGGUAGCCAUCCGAUGUUUUAGCUGCUAAGAAGAUUAGUCAGUGACAUCGCCAGAGCCUGUCCUUCGGUGGUGGGUAGUCUGUCCUGCUGCAGAACAGGGCUUGGCAAGGAGAGAGGCCUGUCUCUAGGGCCCCAGAAGGGUCAGCUCUUCAGCCAGGCCAACCUGCUGGUUUGGGGCCUCCUGCGGAAAGCUGGAGCUGCAUUUGGGCCUCGUGGGGAGGCUGCAGGUUUCAUGGCCAAAUACCUGCCCUGGUGUCCACCAAGUCUCUGCAGACUCUGCCAAAGCCCUGGACUUGGCCACGGAUGAGGGAAACACCACAGAGGAGGAGAUGGCCAUGGAGACCCAAAGUCCCUCCGCGCUUCUAGAGGGCAUGGUGUGGAGGCCCCAGCAGAAGAAGCUUCUGAGUGCUCAAAUGAGGAGCCUGGAGGAACAAGAGCUUGUGGGGACCCGGGUUUGAUCCCUGGUCUGGGAAGAUUCCACAUGCUGCAGAGCAACCAAGCCCCAGUGUGUCAACUACUGAAGCCCACAUGCCCUGGAGCCCAUCCUCUGCAACAAGAGAAGCCACCGCAAUGAGAAGCCCACAUCCCGAAAUUAGAGAGUAGCCCCCACUUGCCACAACUAGAGAAAGCCCAUGCAACAACAAAGACCCAGCAUAGCCAUAAAUAAAUAAUUUAAAAA